AUUGAACGCUGGCGGAAUGCUUUACACAUGCAAGUCGAACGGCAGCACGGGGGCAACCCUGGUGGCGAGUGGCGAACGGGUGAGUAAUACAUCGGAACGUGCCCAGUCGUGGGGGAUAACGUAGCGAAAGUUACGCUAAUACCGCAUACGAUCUACGGAUGAAAGCGGGGGACCGUAAGGCCUCGCGCGAUUGGAGCGGCCGAUGUCAGAUUAGGUAGUUGGUGAGGUAAAGGCUCACCAAGCCGACGAUCUGUAGCUGGUCUGAGAGGACGACCAGCCAAACUGGGACUGAGACACGGCCCAGACUCCUUCGGGAGGCAGCAGUGGGGAAUUUUGGACAGUGGGCGCAAGCCUGAUCCAGCCAUUCCGCGUGCAGGACGAAGGCCUUCGGGUUGUAAACUGCUUUUGUACGGAACGAAAAGGCUCUGGUUAAUACCUGGGGCUCAUGACGGUACCGUAAGAAUAAGCACCGGCUAACUACGUGCCAGCCGCCGCCGUAA
RNAcentral lists this ribosomal RNA (500 nucleotides) under uncultured bacterium. RNAcentral describes it as "partial 16S ribosomal RNA". It matches the Rfam family "Bacterial small subunit ribosomal RNA", at positions 30 to 523 of the family's 1533-position model. The record is from RNAcentral.